This 763-nucleotide long non-coding RNA is filed under the name Nicotiana tabacum (common tobacco). RNAcentral describes it as "long non-coding RNA (NTAB_LNC001203)". Lineage: Eukaryota; Viridiplantae; Streptophyta; Magnoliopsida; Solanales; Solanaceae. The record is from RNAcentral.
GGAAAUUGAAUCUAAUUAUUUGUUUCUCUUUAAAAGAGAACACGUAAGUGUGACUCAAUUAGUGUUUUCACUUACUCUGAACUAUGCCAUUCAUUUAGAGAUAAAGAGAGCAUGUGACUCAAUUUUUAUUAUUUCCCAUUAAUAGUUAUUAAUUUUAUCUAUUUAUUUUUCCUGGGUGACAUAGGAUUCAGUUGCUCAUAAAUCUGGGCAUCUAACUGUUAGUAUGUCUAUACUUGCAGUUUCUUUCACUCAUAUCAUCAAGAGUAGUUAGCCGGCUUUUAGUAUUUAUUUGUCACUUUGUGCCAAUCACGUCGUUGUUUAUUUUCAGUGUUUUAAUUCAGUCGGAUGCUCUCUUAUGCUUUCUUGACUCCUUGGCUUAAGCAUUGUUUUUGUCUUCUUACUCUUUUUUCCUUCGAGUGCAGGUGGUUCCGCGUGGUUUCUUCCAUGCAUUUUCAGAUGUGUUCGUCAUUCGCAUAUCGUCUGAGAUUAGCUGAUUGCAACCAAAGCCCAGUCAGUGAACUUGACUAUGGUUGAACUUUAGUACUCGAGAUCUAAAAGUAUACUUUUGUCCUAUUUUGCAAACGGAAAAGGGCCAACAAUACCCCUAACGUAUUGAAAAUGGCUCAAAAAUACCAUCGGUUAACCUUUUGGUCCGCAAAUACCCCUAACGUUUGUUUUUUGGGCUUAAACUUACCCUUAUAUCUAACCAAACUUAUCUGGUCAAUUUUUUGACUUUAACUUCGUCAUGUGACAUUUUCUUAAC